Molecule: long non-coding RNA, 217 nt
Filed under: Nicotiana benthamiana
Lineage: Eukaryota; Viridiplantae; Streptophyta; Magnoliopsida; Solanales; Solanaceae
Description: long non-coding RNA (NBEN_LNC037223)
Source: RNAcentral
UGGGGGAUGGCUUCAACUUUUUCUUUAGGCUCGUUUUUGAAACCUAUGCCAUGUUUGGUCGAUUUCAAGUUGACAAGAACAUCAUUCAAAUUUUUAUGAGAAGAAUUGAACUUAUGUAGGGUGCCCUUAAGUCUUUCUACUUCAUCUUUUAGAUGCAUGCAAGAAAUACAAUUUUUACUAGAACUCUCGGGUUUGUCGGCGCUUCUCUUGCCGAANN